This 250-nucleotide ribosomal RNA is filed under the name uncultured bacterium. RNAcentral's name for it is "partial 16S ribosomal RNA". It matches the Rfam family "Bacterial small subunit ribosomal RNA", at positions 524 to 773 of the family's 1533-position model. The record is from RNAcentral.
UACGGAGGGUGCAAGCGUUGUUCGGAAUUACUGGGCGUAAAGCGCGUGUAGGCGGCUGCCUAAGUCUGAUGUGAAAGCCCGAGGCUUACCCUCGGAAGCGCAUUGGAAACUGGGCAGCUGGAGUAUCGGAGAGGAGGGUGGAAUUCCUGGUGUAGCGGUGAAAUGCGUAGAUAUCAGGAAGAACACCGGUGGCGAAGGCGGCCCUCUGGACGAAUACUGACGCUGAGACGCGAAAGCGUGGGGAGCAAAC